Molecule: ribosomal RNA, 466 nt
Filed under: uncultured bacterium
Lineage: Bacteria
Description: partial 16S ribosomal RNA
Rfam family: Bacterial small subunit ribosomal RNA
Source: RNAcentral
GAUGAACGCUGGCGGCGUGCUUAACACAUGCAAGUCGAACGAUGAAGCCCAGCUUGCUGGGUGUAAUAGUGGCGAACGGGUGAGUAACACGUGAGUACCCUGCCCUUGACUCUGGGAUAAGCCUGGGCGACUGGGUCUAAUACUUGAUAUGACUUCUCAUCUCAUGGUGGAGGGUGGAGAGCUUUAUUGGUCUUGGGUGGACUCGCGGCCUAUCCGCUUGUUGGUGAGGUAAUGGCUCACCACGGCGACGACGGGUAGCCGGCCUUGGAGGGUGACCGGCCACCCUGGGACUGCGAGACGGCCCAGACUCCUACGUGAGGCAGCAGUGGGGAAUAUUGCACAAUGGGCGCAAGCCUGAUGCAGCGACGCCGGGGGUGGAAAGACGGUCUGUUGGUUGUAAACCUCUUUCGGUAGGGAAGAAGCUAUAGUGACGGUACCUGCAGAAGAAGCGCCGGCUAACUACGUG